AGGUCACUGUGAACUUUCGCUUGAAGCUUUGUUGGCCGCUGGACAUGACAUCUAUCCACUCUCAUGCUAUGAACAUUGGCUUGAAGCUUUGUUGGCCGCUGUGACCAUGAACUAUUAUCCAACUCCAGCGGGACGAAGCUGCAUUGCAUUGCAUCUGCAUGCAUACAGGUCACACCGUGGGACACAAUUUAUUGGAUCGGCUGCCCCAGCUGAAAAUACCAACUCCUGAUUAUAUAUUAUUAAUUUAUUAUACAUACAUAUCCCAACCAGCUGUGUAGAUUGUUUGGCCCCGCCUUCUCCUUAUGCAGUUUGUCCUCUGCAAAGUACGAGCAGAUCAAAAGAGUCGCUGGAGCCGCUGUCUGCCUGGCCUCACUCUAGAGGAGCUGGUCCUGCGCUUUGAGAGUGUGUUCAGCGGCGGCGGAUAGCAAGCAUGCGGCCUUGUCCGAAAACUUUUCAAGAUUUCUCUAUCAAUCUUACUCCAUAUAUAUAGAGCAUUGAUAUAGAUAAAAAACAUAACUAUUUACAUAAUUUACCUGUAAAUCGUGAGAUAAAUCUUUUAAGUCUAUUUAGUCUUGAUUGAACACUAAUUACUGAAUACAAAUCACGUGUGCCGUGUGCGUGCCCGGCGCCCCUGCACUGCAUGCUCUGCUUCUACCUCUGCUUCUGGCUUCUGGAGCUGUCGUCGUCCAAGUUGGCCUCUUGGGCCAGCAGCCAGCUCUAUCCGCCUUCACAUACCAUACGUGCAUGAACCUGCGAUAAGAACCUUGGACUUGGACCUGACCAGCUGGGUUGCGUGGGGUUCUUGCCAACUUCGGUCUUGUUUAGUUUCGAAAAAAUUUCGGAUGAUGGUACUGUAGUAUUUUCGUUUGUUUGUGACAAAUAUUAUUCAAUUAUGGACUAACUAGGAUUAAAAGAUUCGUCUCGCGAUUUACAGCUAAACUGUGUAAUUAGUUGUUGCUUUCGUCUAUAUUUAAUGCUUCAUGCAUGUGCCGCAAAAUUUGAUGUGACGAGGAAUCUUAAAUUUUUUUUGCUUUUUGAGGUGAACUAAACAAGGCCGAAAACGAAUGCCCCAUGGUGGUCCUGUCCCGAUUGGAAUUGGAUGCAGGACGAUGCUUAUUUGCAGCCAUGCCUGCAUGCAUGAGAGUAUGAGACCAUGCAUUCGGGGGUUUGACCCUUGAUCGGAUAUGGUGGCUUUUCUCGCCUUGCAUGCUGGGAGACGCAUGUUCAUGGCACCAUGCGUGCGUGUACGGUGGCGCCAAGCCAUGGGGAUGGGGUGCCCGCCUCCCACCUGUGUGCGGGGGUGGGUGUUACGCACGUCUGCGUUUAAAGGAGGAGAUUCCUUUAAUUUCCUAAGGAUGGUCUUUUAAGUAUGCUUUUUAAUUAAGGAAAGAGAGCAUUGUGAAACAACAUUACUAUAAGUUAGGAUUUCUUUUCAACCCACGCCCUCAGGCACAUCCAUCUCUAUAAACACACUGUAUCCGGCCUACACUAUAUUAGGUUAGCUCAUUUUAGACGAGACUCAACCUACAUCACAUGCUCGUAACAAACGUGUCUGAGAAUUUGUCUCUUAUAUGACUACAUACACGUAUAGACGAAGACAAAUCGUGUCAAUGAUAACGACAAAAUGCAUUUGUGAUAACUUCUCAUCACAUAUGUAUAUAGACAAAACACAUCUAUGAUGAUUUCACAUCAUAAAUGAAUGUGUCUCUAAUUAGAAUCGACAAAGGUGAAAUUCUUCGCGUCCGAAUAUUCGGACAUCAGCGCUAGGUCGAUGAUCUUCCCGUGCAUAUUUCCCAAGCUCUGACGCAUCCCGCGCGAAGACGAAGGACGCUUCCUGCCCCAACAGGCGCCAGGUACGUAAUACAUACAUACGUUUUCUUUUUUUUUUUCUUAUUCUUCUCUUUUCUUUUCUUCCAGCGCAUAAUUAAUUAUUUUAUUUGCAUUAUUUUAUUUUUGUUUUUAUAUUUACUCUUUUUGUUUUUCUUUCUCUUUUGCUUUAAUGUUUUGUAUAGAUUUUUCUUUUUUUCUUUUAUCCUCUUUCUUUGCUUAUUUUUAUUUUUGCCUUUUCUUUUUUUUUCUUAUUCUUCUCUUUUCUUUUCUUUUUUUCUUCCCGCGCAUAAUUAAUUAUUUGUUGGCUUUAUUUUAUUUUUGUUUUUAUAUUUACUCGUUUUGUUUUUCUUUCUCUUUUGCUUUAAUGUUUUGUAUAAAUUUUUCUUUUUUUCUUUUAUCCUCUUUCUUUGCUUAUUUUUAUUUUUGCCUUUUCUUUUUUUAUUAUUCUUCUCUUUUCUUUUCUUUUGUUUUCUUCCCGCGCAUAAUUAAUUAUUUGUUUGCUUUAUUUUAUUUUUGUUUUUAUGUUUACUCUUUUGUUUUUCUUUCUCUUUUGUUUUAAUGUUUUGUAUAGAUUUUUCUUUUUUCUUUUAUCCUCUUUCUUUGCUUAUUUUUAUUUUUGAAUUUUAUUUUUUCUUUUCUUCAUUCUAUCAUUUCCAUUCUUAUUUUCAUUUUAUAUUUAUAUAUUUCUUUUUAUCAUUAUUUUCUAUGCACAUGUUUCUUAUUGUUUUGUUAAUUAUUAUUAUUGUUUUAUUUCCUUGCUUCUAUUUGUUCUUCCUUUUUCUAUUUUAGUUUUCUAUAUGUUUUCAUUUUCAUUUUCUUUCUUAUUAUUUUCAUUUUCAUUUUCUUUCUUAUUUCUAUUUUCCUUUGUUUUUUAAUUUUUAAUUUAUUUUUUUUCUCUCUUUUCAAUUUUAUUUUUACCAUUGUUCUUUAGGUUAUUCAUUUAUUUUAUUUUACCCUAUAUAUUUAUUAUUUAUUUUUACAUUUACUGCAUUUUCUUUGGUUCUAUUUAUUAUUUCUUUAGUGUUGUUCACGUAAUAUAUAUGCAAUGUUCUAGGAAGUAUUUAGUGAUGUUCUAUAAUAUUUUAGUGUUGUUUCAUGUAUUAUAUAUGCGAUGUUCUAAAAUAUAUUUUAAUGAUAUUCUAUGAUGGAUUUUAUGAUGUUCACUUAGAAUACAUUUGAUGUUCUAAGUAUAUUUUAGGAUGUUUGAAGUUUCCAUAUUGUUCUUUUAAAUUUUUAUAUAUUGUGUUUUUUAUUUUUUCUUAUGUACUGCUCUAGUUUUUAUUAUUUUUAUUUAUGUUAGGUAUUUAUUUAUCUUCACGUGGUAUACAUGUGAUGUUCUCUAAUGUAUUUUGUGAUACUCAUGUAGUGUAGAUGUGAUAUUCACGUAGUAUAUAAUGAUGUUCUAUGAUAUUUUUUGUGAUGUUCUAGUAGUAUACAUGUGGUGUUUUAAGAUGUUUGAUGUUCUCGUGGUAUACCAAUGAUGAUGAUGAUGUUUUUAGUGAUGUUCACACGAUAUACAUGUGAUGUUCUAUGAUGUAUUUAGUGAUGUUCAUGUAAUAUAUAUGUGAUGUUCUAUAAUGUUUUAAGUGUUGUUCUAUAGUGUAGUUAGUGAUGCUCACUCAGUACUAUAGUAUAUUUUAGAAUGUCUGAAAAGUAUCCAUGAGAUGCUCUUUUUAUUUUUUCUCUAUUAUAUGUUUUUAAUUUUUUUCCUUACACAUUGCUCUAGAUUUUAUUUUUUUUUAUUUAUGCUAUGUAUUUAUUUAUUUAUUUAUAAUUAUAAUACCAAUACAGUUCUUAGAAUAUUUUCUUAUGAAGACGCAACAUUGUUUUUAAACCUAAAACAUCAUCUCAGCUCAAUAUAAAAAUGUUCUAUUUUUAUAUGAUAAAUAUUCGUUAUUAAAAUUUUAUCUAAAUAUAUUUAUCUUGUUUUGAUGGAUUUAUUACAAGAAAUCUUUGGUGUAAUCUGAAUUUAAUUUGGAUAUUUUAUUUAGGAGUUAUGACUUUUUGUUGUUUGUUGAAAGCCAUUGCGUGCAUGCGUUGUAGCUGAAGUGGAUAUGCUGCUGCACUAUCUCCUCGCACCAGCUGCGCAUAGAAAAGCCGCGAGCCAAAAUUAAUUAGUGUGGAUGAGAAGAAAUACGUGCGAGCACGGACCAUAGAAAAAGUACAGCAGAAAUUCAAUUUAGAAACAGUGUGCUGAAGCAGUUUGAGAAUGACGCGCGCUGCAGAGGCAAACAUAAUUUUCAGCGCUGAAACCAGCGGAAACCAUCACACCGGAAACCGCCGGACGGUGGAUCCCGUUCGAACAGCCGGACUCUAAGAGAAAGAAAAGAAAAAUUUUCACGUGCUAGGGUUUUAAAUCUCUUGCUAUACUUGCUACUAUCUCAAGAUAUAGAUGUUUGAGGAGAGUAUAGCUAUUUACUUCCAGAUUUAGUUGCUAUAGCGUGAUUUAAAUGGCUAUUACCUAUUUAUGAAAGCACAUAGCUAAAUGUCAUAUCUGCCGAUUUAAAACACGAGCACACAUUAUGUAAAGAUGUUUUCAUGGCUUGGAAUUGAUUGCAUGCAUAAAUAAUUUGUGCUAUGCACACAUUUGUGAGGUUUUUAUGCUAUUUAACGUAUAUAUGAAUGGCUUAGUUGGAAGAUAAAUAUAUUCACCGCGUAGGACCUCGGAAUCUGGAAGGCAAAAUGGCUUACUCCCUUUGUCCUGAAAUUGAAGAUUGAAAUAUAUCCUAAAAUAUAGUAUAUUCAAAGAACAAAAGAUAAUGUUUAUUUAAAUAAAAAUAUGUGAUAGUUUGUAUCAGGAAGUAAUUCAUGUAAUUGCCAUAUUUUGUAUAAAAAGACUAAGAGUUCACCCUUUAGUCAUGCGGAAUAGAAUAAGAUUUUAAUAGAUUAGGAAGGUAAGUGAGUGGUACAUGCAUUUCUUGCAAUCACUAUAUUUCAGAAUGGAGGGAGUAGUACACUAAUGGAGGGAGUAGUACACUAGCUAGCACAAAUUACUAUAUAAUUGCGGGUUCUAGACACCACAGUGAUAAAAAAUAGAAAAUAUUUGCGUUUACAAAAUUUGUACUCAGUUCAUAUUUUUUUGAGCAUCCAUACCAUCUAAGCUACAUGAUACUUGCGACUAUACAACUAAUGCAAUUCUUCUAACUAUACAAUUAUAAAUCUUAUAUUAUAUAUUUGACACUCUAAAUAAUUUCAAAAAAAAUGUUGUAACUACAAAUUCUAAGGAGGAGCCUUGGUGUAUAUAUAAUGAAGAAGGAGAAACGAAGGAGUGUAGGGGAAAGAGCUCUAGGGAUGGUGCCACUCCUUCCUUGCAUGUGGGCCCCAUUGGCCCGACCGUUAGAGGGGGAGGGUGUUCUAGUCCCCCAUAUCAUCGUGCCGCCACUGUGGUUGGCGGUGGCGACGUGCUGCCUAUUUAGCUACAGGCCCCUUUAUCAAAGCACGUAGCGUGGCUUGCGGUGCCCUCCGGCCUUUAAUUAUGUUAGGGUCGUAUCAGGACUAAGUGGUAUAGUGCUACGCGCUUAGAACCACAACAUCAACGCACCCCAGGAAUUGAUAUCUCUAGCUAUCGAUAGCCUAGGGGUGCGCCAGCUUCCUUGUCAUGGUACGGGGUUGGCACGCCUCUUGUCCGCUUUCUUUUCUAGAGGAGGUGACAUAGGCCCCACUCCGAUCGGGUUGUCCCCCUUUCGACCCUUGACUUUCUUGAGCCGUCGGGCGAGCUGGAAACUCCCCUUGAGGGAUCGGAAGGGGGAGGGAUGGUGACUACGCGCUCCAUCGUCAGGCGUGACGGAGGACAUAUUCUCACCCUCAGACACACCUCCCUUAUUUCCCAGGGGUCGAGGGAGGCAGUGCGCACCCUCUAGUUGUCAGAUUGGGCUGGGGUUGCCGAUUGGGUCACCUGAUUUGAACCAGACCUCCUCUGUGAAGGCCUAGGAUCGGGCGUGGUUACUUAAGCGAACCUCGUAUCAAUAGUUUAGCCCCCGGAUUGGAGACGCUAAUAUUGAUACUCGACACAUACCAUCUAAUUAAGCUACAUGAUACUUGGGACUAUACAACUAAUACAACUAUACAAUUCUAAAUCUUAUAUUAUGUAUUUGCCACUCUAAAUAAUUUCAAAUGAAAUAUUGUUAACUGCAAAAUUCUAGAUCUCAUCGAGUACUCAAAUUUGAUGUUGACUUUGGCUCUAUUCGACAUUGAUCAUAGUGAUAGUCUGACAGUAAUUAUCUUGCAGAGGGUAGUGGUAUAUAUCACCUCUAUUUUCCGAGGAACAAAAGCUAUCUACUACAUAAUAGCCCUAGCUACUCAGUCUAACCCUAGCUAGAAAUGCUUCAGUAGAUAAGCAAAGCUUAUGCUGGAGCAGUGGGAAUGUGGCAUGCACGCAGAAGAUUAGAAUCUCCGUUGAAAAAGACACAAAGUCAUGAGAGAACAAAGAAAAGAACAAGUUCUCCCAUGCAUGCUCUAGUCCAAGCUACCAAGCAAUGUGAGGGGACCAAAUUACACACGACAAGCACAACAAGCCUCCAAGAGCUGGAGACUGCAAAAGGAGUAAGAUUACAUCUAAAGCUAAACUGCACAUCAAAGCACCAAAGAUAUAAAGAGAGACAAGACAAGGGCUAUGUCUAAGCUUAACUGGCACUACAGAGCCUUGGCCAUCCACUAGUAGUUGGUAAAGUACUAGUAGUAGACUAGUAGUUUCCAUGUUGUUAUCACUGGAUACCGUUUUGGUUUUGAUGUACUUUUGAUCUGCCUGCUGCUAACUGAUUUUGGUCCUGAUUUUAGUGACAAGGUUUGCAAAAUGAUGGAGUGCUCCGCACUGCCCACCCUCCAAGUUUUCUUUUGUUUAAGUAUCCGUUGAAUACAACUUUUUUCCUCUGUAUCUAAAAAAAAUCAGGGUGCAUGCUAAGAAAUUUUCAUAAUUUUGUCACAAAAAAAGGCGAUUUGAAUUAUAUAGAAAUAUAUGAAGAAACAAAAAACAGUUAAAUAUAGCAAAGAAAUUCAAAAAGGUCUCAAACUUUGAAAUAGAGUUUCAAAUAGUCUCACAAAGCCUCAAAAAAAAAAAAAAAAACUAGGUCAAAAAUCAAAUAAUUUUUUUUUGCCGAGUGCCUGGCCAGCUGGCACUCGGCAAAGAAUUAGCCUUUGCCGAGAGCCAAACGGUAGGCGCGCGGCAAAGGGGACGGCGACGUGGGCCGUUACACGGACAACCACUUUGCCGAGAGCCGAGAGCCUGUCCUCGGCCCUCGGCAAAGGCGGCUUUGCUGAAUGCUUGACAUGGCACUCGGCAAAGGACAGUCUUUGCCGAGUGCCUGCGCCAUGGCCCUCGGCAAAGAGGCGGGCGCUCGGCAAAGAAAGAAAUUCCUGUAGUGAUGGCGAUCGAUGUAUAAACUACUUCUCACCGUCAUUUAAUCCGAUGCUUCAUGCAGCCUGGUCCCUACCUUGAUUAUUUGAACCCUGGCCCUUCUGUGUACAGAAAACUCAUACAAAGUUUUAUAUAAUGCGUAUAUCAUCGAUCACUCUUGUACAGUGUGGUUCUUUUAGGGUGUCAAGGAAUAAAGAGGAUUCUUAUGUGUCUAAUUUGAUAUGAUGUUUCUAUGAUCACUAAACUUUAUUCCCUUUAUUAUAUAUUGUGCAUUUGUGGUGGAACAAAGUGGCCAAGCUAGCUAGUUACUAUUGGCUAACAAGCUUUUGGCCCGGGUAUGUAACAAGCUUUUGGCCCGGGUAUGUAACAAGCUUUUGGCCCGGGUAUGUAAGAACAAGCAAGAGCAAAGGUCUGUGAAUGAACAACACCACUACGCCUAACACUGGUGCACGCAAAGAGCUAGUAACUGAACAAAGGUGAUAAAAGAUUAUGUGAGCUCGCAACUGACGUUUCACUGGAAGAGGCAACGAUGUGAGGCCACCCAAUCGCUUUGCUAUCAGCCUAUCACUCAGUUUUGUUCUUUAUCUCCACGUACGGCCAUGGACAGUCCAUGUGUGUUAGUUUGUGAUAUGUAUGCAGAAUAUGCCGUUUGGAUCAAAUAAUUGGAUGGAUGCAUGCAUGCACAUGUGUGUGCAUUGUUGAAGUGAAGGUGACUUUAGUUCUUAUCAGUUUUUCUUUUGUAUGUUCCUAUCAAGAAAAUAAAUAAAUAAAUUGCUUUUGCUUGUGGGGACAUACAUAUGGAUGAUUGAGAUUGCAAGGAAGG
RNAcentral lists this long non-coding RNA (8006 nucleotides) under Sorghum bicolor (sorghum). RNAcentral describes it as "long non-coding RNA (SBIC_LNC015593)". Lineage: Eukaryota; Viridiplantae; Streptophyta; Magnoliopsida; Poales; Poaceae. The record is from RNAcentral.